UGGCAUUCCAGGAAAUAGCACCAUUUGAAAUAUGGCCAUAAUUCUUCCUUGAUAGAUAGCUCUUUUGUUAGGGAAGAACUUAGAGGAGAAUCCCCUUACCCCAAAACUUAGGAUAUCUCCAAUUUCUCAAAUAACUUCAUCAUUUAUACCAGAUUAUUGGGCAUAGUAUUUAAGAUGACCCUAGUUGGAAAUUUUGCUAAAUUUCUCGGAAGAGGUACGGACCAUGAGAACAGUUCUGGGAAUAUCUGUGGGACUUGUUUCUGUGUAUUCAUCUGAUUCCAUUAAAUCAAAUCAUGAUAAUCUUUUUUUAAAAAUAGCUCAUUUAAAAAUAAAAACCAUUUAUUUUCAGAGAAUAGGACUUUCCCACCAAUAUGGGUUCACUAAAUAAUCAGGAUUUUCCUUUUUAAAAAAAAAAAAAAAAAAAAAAAUUUACCUGAUGUGGGAGGAAAGGAAAGCCAUUUCCUUAAGACUUUAUGAAAAGUAGGAUAAAAACUAACAUGUCGACUGUUAUUACUCUGUCUGGCUUCAGAAAGAGAUAAAAUAGUCACAUGGCUGAGAAUAAAUUGGAAUGUGGUCCCAAGAGGUACAGGGUUUUAUUGUUGGUAAGUGAGGUUUGUUUUUUUGCCCAUAAUACCCUGGACAUCAGAAUACUUUAUAUACUACUAAGUCUGUACUUGAGGAAAGAUUAGUUACAAUUUGGGCAGUAAAAUGAAACUUUAUUGUGUGGGUGAAUGCAGAUAUGCAUAUAUAUAUAUAUAUGUAUUUUUUUUUCCUGUGACUUGAGAUGGCAUUAAUUACUUUCAUUACCUCUUGACAGCCAUUUUCCGUAUUAAAAGUAGCCAAUCUAGUUUUUAGCUUUCAUGGCACAAUUGACUGCCACAAAGAAGAUGACAUUGUUUUUCCUGGAAUUGGUUGAUUACUUUUGGUUGAGAUUGAUGACAUUUUUGUUAUGCUUGUUCCAUUGUCUGUCCUUUUCACUGCUUUGGGGUGAAAGCCUACUUCAUUGCUUAAGGCAAUUUAUCAGUUUCAUUGACUGACACUUAUUGAAAGUUAAAGAAAAAAUUGGGAAGGGGGGAACCAAAUGAUGUUUUGUUCGACUUUUAUCCAGUAUUGAUAUUGAUACUUUACAUGAUUGUAAAUAAAACUACUGUCUUCUUUUUGUGGUGUUUCUGGUUACACCAUGCAGUGUAAAACAGUAUGUUGCUCUAAUUUAACAUAUUUACAUCUUUCUCUACUAAUUGAGAGUCUUUAUUUAUUUGUCUUGACACAAGUGCUUUUGAUGUUUUUAUUCUAGCUAAUGAUUUCUUAAAGGUAAUAAAACCUUUACAACUUGAUUGGUCAGAGAUGACUUUUUUCCCUCUUUGGGCUAAAAUAAAACAGUUAAUGAAGCACUUAAUAUUUCCGAGAUUAAAUUUUUGUCUAUUUUUAUGAAUUUCAUUCCUAAAGAGAUUUUGUACAAUAAAGCAAUCAUUGAGAUUAUGGAUCAUUGUUUUGAAAUCCUAGUAUUAAUUUUAAUGGAGAUGGGGAGGGGAAGGGCUAUGUGGAUUUUGUAAUCCUCAAGAAUAUCC
Molecule: long non-coding RNA, 1568 nt
Organism: Sarcophilus harrisii (Tasmanian devil)
Lineage: Eukaryota; Metazoa; Chordata; Mammalia; Dasyuromorphia; Dasyuridae
Source: Ensembl